Molecule: ribosomal RNA, 933 nt
Filed under: Triticum aestivum (bread wheat)
Lineage: Eukaryota; Viridiplantae; Streptophyta; Magnoliopsida; Poales; Poaceae
Description: partial small subunit ribosomal RNA
Source: RNAcentral
AUGAUCGCGUCUAUAGGCGAGGCCCAUCCAUCCAGCGGUCGGGUCCACAUUUCUGCUGAUGCCUGCCCUGCCGUGAAUAAUUGCACUCGCUUCCCCUUGCUGCCCGUCACCACUGCCGACGCCUGCCUCCUCCUCCUCCAUCUCCCAUUCCCACCUUCCCGUCCCCCAGCACCGGCGGGACAUUCCUCCCGAACCGUCGCCAUGGCAACCGCCGUUCCACCGAUCAUCUCCCCGAAGGAAGAUCUCCCCCCUCCACUGACCUCCGCCUCCGAGCCCCCUCCGCUCUUCGACGGCACCACCAGGCUGUAUCUUGCAUAUCACUGCCCGUACGCGCAGCGCGCUUGGAUUACCAGGAACUGCAAGGGUUUACAACACGAGAUCAAGGUAGUUGCCAUAGAUCUGGCAGACAGGCCAGCUUGGUACAAGGAGAAAGUUUACCCGGAGAACAAGGUGCCUGCCCUGGAGCAUAACAACCAGGUGAAAGGAGAGAGCUUGGAUUUGGUCAAAUACAUUGACAGCAAUUUUGAUGGCCCAGCAUUGCUGCCUGAUGAUUCUGCAAAAAAGCAGUUUGCUGAGGAACUGCUUGCGUUCAGCGAUGGGUUUAAUAGUGCAUUUUUCUCAUGCUUACGCUCCAAGGGAGAUGUGUCAGAUGAAGCCGCUGCUGCUGUGGAUAAAAUAGAAGCUGCCUUGGGAAAGUUCAGCGACGGCCCAUUCUUCCUUGGCCAGUUCAGUUUGGUGGACGUUGCAUAUGUGCCAUUCAUUGAAAGGUUUCAAAUAUUCUAUUCUGGUAUCAAGAAGGAUGAUCUCGCCAAGGGCAGGCCCAACCUGCACAAAUUCAUUGAGGAAGUGAACAAGGUCGACGCAUAUACACAGACAAAACUGGACCCGCAGUUUCUGCUUGAUCAAAUGAAGGAGAAGUUUGGCAUUGCUUGA